This 236-nucleotide ribosomal RNA is filed under the name uncultured bacterium. RNAcentral's name for it is "partial 16S ribosomal RNA". It matches the Rfam family "Bacterial small subunit ribosomal RNA", at positions 118 to 351 of the family's 1533-position model. The record is from RNAcentral.
UGAGUAACCUGCCCUUGACUCUGGGAUAAGCCUGGGAAACCGGGUCUAAUACCGGAUAUGACCUUCCGCCGCAUGGCGGGGGGUGGAAAGCUUUAGUGCGGUUUUGGAUGGACUCGCGGCCUAUCAGCUUGUUGGUGAGGUAAUGGCUCACCAAGGCGACGACGGGUAGCCGGCCUGAGAGGGUGACCGGCCACACUGGGACUGAGACACGGCCCAGACCUCCGUACGGGAGGCAG